AGGCGGUGCGCGCGGCGGGCUUCCGGCGAGAGUGGGCCGGGCGGCCGGUGUCCCGGCUCGUUCCCGAAACCCGAUCCCCGUGGUUCGCGACCCCGCGGCCACGCCCGUGGGCGCGGUGUGCUGAAGGGGCGGAUGCGCGCCCCGGGCGCCCGUGGCCUGCGGCUCGGGGUCCGUGUUCCCACCCGACGUGGGCGUCGUGCCCGGCAGGGCGUGGGGAGGCCGGCGCGACGCCUCGGGGCCGAGGCGCUUCCCGGGGGGAUCCCGCUGCACGCGGGCGCCUUUCCGCCGGGAGGCUGCACCGCGCGGCCCUGGCCGUGCGGCCGAGCGGGCCCGGGGUCGUGGCGCCCCGGUGACGCCUCCCCUGCACCCCCUGCCGCAGGAGUCAGCAACAUGAUAGCCAGGCUGGCCAAGACCUGCACGCUCCGCAUCAGCCCGAGUCGGCUGAACUUCAUCCUCGCCGACAGGGUGGCGCACGGAGGCGUGAGCAUGUGGUGCGAGCUGGAACAGGAGAACUUCUUCAGCGAAUUUCAGAUGGAAGGCGUGUCGGCAGAAAGCAAUGCGAUUUAUUUAGAGCUGAUAUCGGAGAACCUGUCUCGAGCCUUGAAAACGGCCCAGAACGCCAGAGCCUUGAAGAUCAAGCUGACGAACAAACACUUCCCCUGCCUCACCGUCUCCAUAGAGCUGCUAUCUGUAUCGAACAGUAGUCGCAUUGUGACCCACGAUAUCCCCAUAAAGGUCAUUCCUAGGAAACUGUGGAAGGAUUUGCAGGAACCGACAGUCCCCGACUCGGAUGUUAGUAUUUAUUUGCCACUCCUGAAGACUAUGAAGAGCGUUGUGGAAAAAAUGAAAAACAUCAGCAAUCACCUCACCCCUGAUGGGCAUCCCAGAAUAUUCACAAGGACUGUUACGUAUCCUUUCAGUCCAGUGUUUCCGGGUACAGGAGAGCGGGCUGGGAAUCGAACCCUAUUUCUGGGGAGUGAAAAAAAAAGGCUAAGGGAGCACGGGGAAAGGGGACCCCACACCUGUGCUUUGAAGCUGUUCUCUGGCAGAUCACGCGGGACAGACAGACAGGAGGAGCAAGUGUCUCAUUCGCUUCCCAGGUUCAUGGUGUCAGUGUGGCGGGGUGUGAGGUCCUGGGCUCCCGCGUUGUCUUUCUUCCCCGUCGCCUUCACCGCGGUGCUGUCUGGGGACGAUGCCGUCUGGUUCUGCCUCCUGUGUGAGGGGCCGGGACUUGCUAGUGGGUGAGGGCGGGGGCCAGGUACCCGCAUUUCCCGUUCCCUCUGAAGUCCCAGGUGUGCCUCUCGGCUCGCUCGGGAGCUGUCUGGCUAGCACGGACGCGCCGUCCGUCUCUGGACCUGCUGUCGGCCUCGAGCCCGGUGUCCUUCAGAUCCUCUGCAUCUCCGGUUCUGUUCGGUGAUCUGUGUUUCCGCCCCGUCUUCUCUUACUGCUCGUGGCUUCCUGCCUGUUCACUUCCCUUUGCGAUACUUCCCCUUAUAUUUCAGGUUCCUUCCUGCGCUCUGUCCGCUCUCCUUGUGCAUCUGCAGGCAGCCUGGUCACGUCAUGUCAGAGCGUCCCUGAUUCUGUCCUGCGCUCUCCCUUCGUAGCCUCGCUGUCCCCAGUGUCGCCCAGCCCCUCCUGAAUCACAAGUCCCUCCCUCUCCGCGUGCUUGGUGCAGCACCCCAGGCCCUGAGUGCUGCUUGGCCAGUGUAGCUCCUCGCUUUCCAGAAUGUCUUGGCUUGGGGUCUGACCACAACCCCUUAGGAUGCGUUUUCCUUCCAGGUGUGGGGGGGCCGGGUGGGUCCUGGCUGCAGAACUGUGGGGUUCUCUGUUCCGUCGUGACCUCAAAGUGGUGAGGCACGUGGCCUCCCCCGUAGCCAGCUCCCCUGGGCUUCCUGGGUCCUCCCCCUCGUGCUCCGCCCACCCUGUGCAGGCCCCCCAGAUCCCACCCCCUCCCUGUCUCCUGGCAGAGCCCCCAGUGCUCAUGUUCCCAGGUCUCUGCCGAGUUCUCCAGGCUCCCCCCGUGGGCGCCUCAGGCCUCGUCUCCUCUCUGUUGCUGAUGCCGGAUAAUUGAAGCAAACCUAAAUGGAGACCUGAACUUGAAAAUAGAAUCUGAACUAGUGUGUGUUACAACUCAUUUUAAAGAUCUCGGAAAUCCUCC
This is an RNA transcript of Hipposideros armiger (great roundleaf bat), 2158 nucleotides long. It is a transcript of the gene named HUS1 checkpoint clamp component, with no coding region annotated. The record is from RefSeq and is a predicted model, not a curated record. The transcript is spliced from 7 exons. NCBI's taxonomy places the organism in Eukaryota, Metazoa, Chordata, Mammalia, Chiroptera, Hipposideridae.